GAAACGACUGCUAAGACUGGAUAGGAAACACUAAGGCAUCUUAGUGUUUUUAAAAGACCUUUUUCGGAAGGUAUACUUAAAGAGGGGCUUGCGCCACAUUAGUUAGUUGGUAGGGUAAAAGCCUACCAAGACGAUGAUGUGUAGCUGAACUGAGAGGUUGAACAGCCACAUUGGGACUGAGACACGGCCCAAACUCCUACGGGAGGCAGCAGUAGGGAAUUUUCGGCAAUGGAGGAAACUCUGACCGAGCAACGCCGCGUGAACGAUGAAGUAUUUCGGUAUGUAAAGUUCUUUUAUCGAAGAAGAAAACGUAGUGGAAAAACUACCUUGACGCUAUUCGAUGAAUAAGCCCCGGCUAACUAUGUGCCAGCAGCCGCGGUAAUACAUAGGGGGCGAGCGUUAUCCGGAAUUAUUGGGCGUAAAGGGUGCGUAGGCGGUUUGAUAAGUCUCUAGUUUAAAUUCAGUGCUUAACGCUGUCCUGCUAGAGAAACUGUCUGACUGGAGUAAGAUAGAGGCAAGCGGAAUUCCAUGUGUAGCGGUAAAAUGUGUAAAUAUAUGGAGGAACACCAGAGGCGUAGGCGGCUUGCUGGGUCUUUACUGACGCUGAGGCACGAAAGCGUGGGGAGCAAACAGGAUUAGAUACCCUGGUAGUCCACGCCGUAAACGAUGAGUACUAAGUUUCGGGGUUCAUCCCUCGGUACUGAAGUUAACACAUUAAGUACUCCGCCUGAGUAGUACGUACGCAAGUAUGAAACUUAAAGGAAUUGACGGGAUCCCGCACAAGCGGUGGAUCAUGUUGUUUAAUUCGAAGAUACGCGAAAAACCUUACCAGGUCUUGACAUACUCUGCAAAGCUAUAGAAAUAUAGUGGAGGUUAUCAGGGAUACAGGUGGUGCAUGGUUGUCGUCAGCUCGUGUCGUGAGAUGUUAGGUUAAGUCCUAAAACGAGCGCAACCCUUGUCGUUAGUUGCCAGCAUGUAAAGAUGGGGACUUUAACGAGACUGCCAGUGAAAAAAUUGGAGGAAGGUGAGGAUUACGUCAAAUCAUCAUGCCCCUUAUGAUCUGGGCUACAAACGUGAUACAAUGGCUAUGACAAAGAGAAGCUGAAACGUGAGUUUUUAGCAAAUCUCAAAAAAAAUAGUCUCAGUUCGGAUUGAAGUCUGCAACUCGACUUCAUGAAGUUGGAAUCGCUAGUAAUCGCGAAUCAGCAUGUCGCGGUGAAUACGUUCUCGGGGUUUGUACACACCGCCCGUCAAACCAUGAAAGUUGACAAUACCCAAAAACGGUAGCCUAACUACGCAAGUAGAGGGAUCCGUCUAAGGUAGGGUCGAUGAUUGGGGUUAAGUCGUAACAAGGUAUCCCUACCGGAAGGUGGGGAUGGAUCACCUCCUUUCUAAG
RNAcentral lists this ribosomal RNA (1396 nucleotides) under Banana wilt phytoplasma. Its description in RNAcentral is "bacterial SSU rRNA". It matches the Rfam family "Bacterial small subunit ribosomal RNA". Lineage: Bacteria; Bacillati; Mycoplasmatota; Mollicutes; Acholeplasmatales; Acholeplasmataceae. The record is from RNAcentral.